GGCGGGGGUCGCCUAGCCUGGUAGGGCGUGGGAUUGCUAAUCCCAUGUCCGAAAGCCGCGCCA
This 63-nucleotide transfer RNA is filed under the name Nitrososphaerota archaeon. Its description in RNAcentral is "Thaumarchaeota archaeon tRNA-Ser". Lineage: Archaea; Thermoproteati; Nitrososphaerota. RNAcentral also lists the same sequence under 1 other name. The record is from RNAcentral.